RNAcentral lists this ribosomal RNA (292 nucleotides) under uncultured bacterium. RNAcentral describes it as "partial 16S ribosomal RNA". It matches the Rfam family "Bacterial small subunit ribosomal RNA", at positions 505 to 796 of the family's 1533-position model. The record is from RNAcentral.
GUGCCAGCAGCCGCGGUAAUACGUAGGGGGCUAGCGUUGUCCGGAUUUACUGGGUGUAAAGGGCGCGUAGGCGGAUUAGUAAGUCAGAGGUGAAAUCCUACGGCCUAACCGUAGAACUGCCUUUGAAACUAUUAAUCUUGAGUUCGGAAGAGAGAGACGGAAUUCCAGGUGUAGUGGUGAAAUACGUAGAUAUCUGGAAGAACACCAGUUGCGAAGGCGGUCUCUUGGUCCGAUACUGACGCUCAGGCGCGAAAGCGUGGGUAGCAAACAGGAUUAGAUACCCGAGUAGUCC